AAGACCUUGCGCUUUUGGAGCGGCCGAUGUCUGAUUAGCUUGUUGGUGAGGUAAAGGCUUACCAAGGCUUCGAUCAGUAGCUGGUCUGAGAGGACGGCCAGCCACACUGGGACUGAGACACGGCCCAGACUCCUACGGGAGGCAGCAGUGGGGAAUUUUGGACAAUGGGGGCAACCCUGAUCCAGCCAUGCCGCGUGAGUGAAGAGGGCCUUCGGGUUGUAAAGCUCUUUCAGCCGGAACGAAACGGUUACGGUUAAUACCCGUGACUACUGACGGUACCGGAAGAAGAAGCACCGGCUAACUACGUGCCAGCAGCCGCGGUAAUACGUAGGGUGCAAGCGUUAAUCGGAAUUACUGGGCGUAAAGCGUGCGCAGGUGGUUUUGUAAGUCAGAUGUGAAAUCCCCGGGCUUAACCUGGGAACU
This 423-nucleotide ribosomal RNA is filed under the name uncultured bacterium. RNAcentral's name for it is "bacterial SSU rRNA". It matches the Rfam family "Bacterial small subunit ribosomal RNA", at positions 207 to 622 of the family's 1533-position model. The record is from RNAcentral.